This 70-nucleotide transfer RNA is filed under the name Rattus norvegicus (Norway rat). It matches the Rfam family "tRNA". Rfam says of the family: Transfer RNA (tRNA) molecules are approximately 80 nucleotides in length. Their secondary structure includes four short double-helical elements and three loops (D, anti-codon, and T loops). Further hydrogen bonds mediate the characteristic L-shaped molecular structure. tRNAs have two regions of fundamental functional importance: the anti-codon, which is responsible for specific mRNA codon recognition, and the 3' end, to which the tRNAs corresponding amino acid is attached (by aminoacyl-tRNA synthetases). tRNAs cope with the degeneracy of the genetic code in two manners: having more than one tRNA (with a specific anti-codon) for a particular amino acid; and 'wobble' base-pairing, i.e. permitting non-standard base-pairing at the 3rd anti-codon position. The record is from Rfam by way of RNAcentral. Lineage: Eukaryota; Metazoa; Chordata; Mammalia; Rodentia; Muridae.
GGGACAUAGCUCAGUUGAUAAAGUACUUGCCUUGGAAACAAGAGGGCCUGAGUUCAAUUCCCAGAACCCA